GCCGGGCACGAUGGCAGGUGCCUGUAAUCCCAGCUACUUGGGAGGCUGAGGCAGGAGAAUUGCUUGAGCCCAGGAGGCAGAGAUUGCGGUGAGCCAAGAUUGCACCACUGCACUCCAGCCUGGGCAACAGAGUGAGACUCUGUCUCAU
Pongo abelii (Sumatran orangutan) is the source of this 148-nucleotide unclassified non-coding RNA. It matches the Rfam family "Metazoan signal recognition particle RNA". Rfam says of the family: The signal recognition particle (SRP) is a universally conserved ribonucleoprotein. It is involved in the co-translational targeting of proteins to membranes. The record is from Ensembl. Lineage: Eukaryota; Metazoa; Chordata; Mammalia; Primates; Hominidae.